Molecule: ribosomal RNA, 497 nt
Filed under: uncultured bacterium
Lineage: Bacteria
Description: partial 16S ribosomal RNA
Rfam family: Bacterial small subunit ribosomal RNA
Source: RNAcentral
GAUGAACGCUGGCGGCGUGCCUAAUACAUGCAAGUCGAGCGAACGGACGAGAAGCUUGCUUCUCUGAUGUUAGCGGCGGACGGGUGGGUAACACGUGGAUAACCUACCUAUAAGACUGGGAUAACUUCGGGAAACCGGAGCUAAUACCGGAUGAUAUUUUGAACCGCAUGGUUCAAAAGUGAAAGACGGUCUUGCUGUCACUUAUAGAUGGAUCCGCGCUGCAUUAGCUAGUUGGUAAGGUAACGGCUUACCAAGGCAACGAUGCAUAGCCGACCUGAGAGGGUGAUCGGCCACAAUGGAACUGAGACACGGUCCAGACUACUACGGGAGGCAGCAGUAGGGAAUCUUCCGCAAUGGGCGAAAGCCUGACGGAGCAACGCCGCGUGAGUGAUGAAGGUCUUCGGAUCGUAAAACUCUGUUAUUAGGGAAGAACAUAUGUGUAAGUAACUGUGCACAUCUUGACGGUACCUAAUCAGAAAGCCACGGCUAACUACGUG